Molecule: non-coding RNA, 342 nt
Organism: Pelobates cultripes (western spadefoot toad)
Lineage: Eukaryota; Metazoa; Chordata; Amphibia; Anura; Pelobatidae
Source: the annotation of a GenBank genome assembly
CCCUCCUCUUCACCCCUAAUUUCAUUACUUGAUGCUGAUCAUUCCUGUCUGCAGUAAAAGCUAUCUAGUGAGACAGCAGGGUUAGUAAAUGUUAUAUCAGAAUCAGAUCUCCCUCUGGCUGCACUUACUAUGCCAUGUAAGUUGCAAAGCACCUUAAAAAGAUGUUUGCAGAGAUGGAUCCUACAAGCACUCAAACCGUACAGGACUUUAGUUAGGUUUAUUUUAUUCAGUGAUUUAUUUUUUAUCAAUGUCCUUGCAACUGAUAUACUAAAAGGAUUAUAUGAAAUACAGUAACAAUUAAUACUGUUUUAUUUCACUAACAGGCAGAAGCAUAACUAGAAA